RNAcentral lists this signal recognition particle RNA (148 nucleotides) under Pan paniscus (pygmy chimpanzee). Its description in RNAcentral is "Metazoan signal recognition particle RNA". It matches the Rfam family "Metazoan signal recognition particle RNA". Rfam says of the family: The signal recognition particle (SRP) is a universally conserved ribonucleoprotein. It is involved in the co-translational targeting of proteins to membranes. The eukaryotic SRP consists of a 300-nucleotide 7S RNA and six proteins: SRPs 72, 68, 54, 19, 14, and 9. RNAcentral also lists the same sequence under 1 other name. Lineage: Eukaryota; Metazoa; Chordata; Mammalia; Primates; Hominidae. The record is from Rfam by way of RNAcentral.
GCUGGGCGUGGUGGCGGGCGCCUGUAAUCUCAGCUACUCAGGAGGCUGAGGCAGGAGAAUUGCUUGAACCCGGGAGGUAGGGGUUGCAGUGAGCCGAGAUCGUGCCACUGCACUCCAGCCUGGGCUACAGAGCAAGACUCUGUCUCAA